GCUGGAUAUGGUGGCACAUGCCUGUAGUCCUAGCUACUUGGGAGGCUGAGAUGGGAGAAUUGCUUGAGCCCAGGAGUUUGAGGCUGCAGUGAACCAAGGUCACACCACUGUACUCCUGCCUGGGCAACAUAGCAAGACCCUGUCUCCA
Pongo abelii (Sumatran orangutan) is the source of this 148-nucleotide unclassified non-coding RNA. It matches the Rfam family "Metazoan signal recognition particle RNA". Rfam says of the family: The signal recognition particle (SRP) is a universally conserved ribonucleoprotein. It is involved in the co-translational targeting of proteins to membranes. NCBI's taxonomy places the organism in Eukaryota, Metazoa, Chordata, Mammalia, Primates, Hominidae. The record is from Ensembl.